GCAAAGCGGUUGUAGUGCCGGAUAAGUAAGUAAGUAGAAGCGAAAAAAAAAAUGCUUGGAGCAUGGAAUAAAGCCGAAUGAAAUUUCUAACCUUCCCGCACGACGCCGCCGCUAGGUAAGGUAUGUUUAUGUGAAAUUACGAUCAUUGUUCCAUUUUAGGGUGUGAUUUGUGCAAUAUAACCGUUCCUUGCGGGGAUAAUGAAUAGUCGAUACCCUCUGCAGCUGUGAAGGGGUGCAGAAGAAGGGGCUCGUUACCCCCCUUCCCAAACCCGGACACCUUUUCCGCGGAUAAAGGAUAUGUUCCUGGUGGGUUGAUCUUGUAUUUUAAUUGAAUGGUUUGUAAUGUAUGUGACCUUUCUCCUGGGACGCUAUAUGCGCCAAAUCUAACGGUGAUCCGUAUCGUGAACGAAUCGGCAUAGGCGGUGCCGGUCCCCGGCGGUUUGUGAAAGUGGUACACAACGGUAUAGAGUACGAUAGAUAACAUGCAACUGAUCUGCGAAGUGCGCCACCUGAUGCUGGCGUUCGGCAAGAUACAGAAGUAGAUGGCACAUGAGUUCGACGUGUGGAACAAGGACGUGCUAGAUUCGUUCCUGAUCGAGGACCGCGACGAUGAGGGAUAGUUACUGAAGCUAAUUAGUGACAUAGCUAGAAGGGUGCGGGCAAGUUGUCGGGGAUUGCCGCCCUGCGCCAUGCCGUUUUGGUGAUACGAAUUGAUGGAGCGGUCUUUUCCCGCUGCUUAUUUGCUCUGAAGGAUGGUCGUGCAUGGGCCAACUAUCAACUAGCCGGACCCAGCACGAAAUAUACCGCGCAAGGCUUCAUAUUGCUGCGCCAAGCGGCCAACGACCUAAAGUAGAACGUGAACUACGGUGCCAUUACACUGAUGGCAUAGCGGUUUGAUUUGUGUAAAAGUAAAUGGUCGAGCUAGCUGUGGCCACACGUCCUCAUUAGCGAUUCUUUGAUUAAAAGCGGUUAAUGAAGCUCUUAUACACCUCGAACUUGAUUAACGCAUGAUACAAAAGUAAGCAAAUUCUUGGCUUACAGAGCAUUAAUAUGGGCCAUUGGAUGUCCUUGGUUGGAAUCUUCGUAGGCUAGAAACCCGCUAUUGUUGACGACAUAGGGUGGUAGUGAUUCCGAGCCAAUCCAACGGAAUAUAUGCUUAUGCAUGCCCCAGCCUGAUCGUUUCUUUUACGAUAUAGCUUGCAGUGGCACUUGCCUUUCUUGACAAUCUUGCAUUAAGCCUAGGUAGCGAGGCUAUUGAGUCCGAAGACAUUAGACAAAGCGUUGAAUUAAAAUGUAACAUAGGAGUGAAACUAAAAUAUGUAUCUGAGUCAGUAAUUAUCAUUUCUUUCGGGUUCUUUCUCUACAACACUUUAUAAGCGAUGUGUUUUAUAACUUUGUGGUGUGAUCGCUGGUGGCAAUAUGACAUAAUUACUAUGCUUGGAGGUUCGUGUCCCCAGCAGCACAUCUAUCGCUAUCGUGACUCCGACCUCAAAGGUUAAUCAGCAAUAAAGAUAGCGAUAGGAUAACGGAAGCGUUACAAACCGUUAGCAACGAGAAUUAGAGCGUAGCACACGAAGCCUAGCACACGAAGUGUAGCACACGAAGCGUAGUACACCAAGCGUAGGGCCAAGCAAAGCAAGGUGCGUGAGAGCGCCACGC
This is a long non-coding RNA of Anopheles merus, 1659 nucleotides long. RefSeq lists it as uncharacterized. The transcript has 3 exons. Lineage: Eukaryota; Metazoa; Arthropoda; Insecta; Diptera; Culicidae. The record is from RefSeq and is a predicted model, not a curated record.